UGCCUGGAGUGAAGAUUCUGCCCAUUGGUCAAGAGACCUCCCUCUCAGAUGCUGGCUCUGCCCCUGCCUUUGGGGGUCGACCCUUGUACUCGCAGGACCUUAGGUGACUCUGACUUUGUCAAAGGAAAAAUUUCUGCAUGUGCACACACAGAUCUUGGAAGUUUAUUCAUCUCAGCAGAGGCAGACAGGAGCAUCAACAGCCUUGGGGACAGCAGCAGUGGUGAAAACUUGGGAAGUAUCAAAAACUUCCAAAAAAUAUAAAGAAUCAGAAAAAGCGGCCGGAUGCAGUGGCUCACACCUGUAAUACCAGUACUUUGGAAGGCCAAGAUGGGUGGAUCACCUGAGGUCAAGAAUUCGAAAACAGCCUGGCCAACAUGGCAAAACCCCCAUCUGUACCAAAAAUACAAAAAUUAGCCUGGCGUUGCAGUGGGCACCUGUAAUCCCAGCUACUCAGGGAGGCUGAGGCAUGAGAAUUACUUGAACCCGGGAGGCGGAGGUUGCAGUGAGCCGAGAUCACACCACUGCACUCCAGCCAAGGUGACAGAGCAAGACCUCUUCUCAAAAGAGAAAAAGCACCCACAAUUCCAACUGAAAGUUAACUACAUUCUAUAUUUUGUCAUAAUUUGUUUUCCAUCGCUUUUUGUAUUUACAUUUAUUUUACA
This 662-nucleotide non-coding RNA is filed under the name Pongo abelii (Sumatran orangutan). The record is from RNAcentral. Lineage: Eukaryota; Metazoa; Chordata; Mammalia; Primates; Hominidae.